RNAcentral lists this long non-coding RNA (678 nucleotides) under Numida meleagris (helmeted guineafowl). Its description in RNAcentral is "lncRNA (ENSNMEG00000018706.1)". Lineage: Eukaryota; Metazoa; Chordata; Aves; Galliformes; Numididae. The record is from RNAcentral.
AUGAAAUUAAGCAGUAGCCCACCUGGCGGAAGCCACCUCUAGGGGACGUGUCCCUGACUGAGCCUGGGGCUGCACGAGUCGCAUUCGCGUGAGCUUCUGGCUCCGUUCCUCUCAGAGAAGAGGGAAGCAGCGGCCGCGCGCAGCCCGCGGGCGGGAGCGUCCCGAGCGGUGGAGGCGCGUGCAGCUCGCGCCGGGGCAGGCGGCGUGCGGGGCUCGGCGGCGAGGGAGCAGCAGCGGCCGUGCAGACCGGGAGCCCCAGUGCUCAAGUGGAUUGCUGUGUUAGUAAGAGCUUCACACCAUCCAGGCUGCCAAGUGGAGAGCUUGUGUGAUCCAGUCACUAGGAUGUCUUGAGGAUGAAGUAGGAUUUGUCAUUUUUCUUAAAUCUUCCUGGCACACCAGUAAGGCCUCUUGGUUCAGAGAGUGCAACUGUGAAAGCUGAACCCUCCCAAGCAGAGCAAUGUGGAGCAGAGGAAGCACUGCAAACUCUAAAAGGUAUUUGGCUACACUGUACUACCCACUUUUCCCGAAGCAAUGAGUGCUAUCUUGCUUUCCACAAAAACAGCUCCUCUCCAGGUUCUUGCAUGCUUGCAUUCCCUCAUUCAGGGACACCUGGAUUCUCUCAGUACCUCUCAUUACUUCCCAAUCUUCAUCAGAAGAUUAUGUUAAUUUAGAUUAUGA